AGCUCUCUGUUACGUUCGCUAGUCAGUUUAGUCCUCGAGCCUAUAUUUAAAUUUUGGGGGCGGCUUCGAAGUGAAGGUGUGCAUGUCCGUUCAUUCGGAAAGCCUGAUUCGCUUCAGCUGCCACCGCCUUGGACCAAUGGUUCAAGGGCUUGGCUGACAACGGCGUUGCGGAGAGCUG
This 178-nucleotide non-coding RNA is filed under the name Pseudomonadales bacterium. Its description in RNAcentral is "6S RNA". It matches the Rfam family "6S / SsrS RNA". Rfam says of the family: E. coli 6S RNA was the first non coding RNA to be sequenced, but its function was unknown until recently. It consists of 184 nucleotides that fold into an extended hairpin structure with a large single-stranded internal bulge. The 6S RNA specifically associates with RNA polymerase holoenzyme containing the sigma70 specificity factor. The record is from RNAcentral. Lineage: Bacteria; Pseudomonadati; Pseudomonadota; Gammaproteobacteria; Pseudomonadales.